RNAcentral lists this ribosomal RNA (913 nucleotides) under uncultured fungus. RNAcentral's name for it is "SSU rRNA". It matches the Rfam family "Eukaryotic small subunit ribosomal RNA", at positions 564 to 1490 of the family's 1831-position model. Lineage: Eukaryota; Fungi. The record is from RNAcentral.
GUGCCAGCAGCCGUCGGUGAAUUCCAGCUCCAAUAGCGUAUAUUAAAGUUGUUGUGGUUAAAAAGCUCGUAGUUGAACCUUGGGCCUGGCUGGCCGGUCCGCCUCACCGCGUGCACUGGUCCGGCCGGGCCUUUCCCUCUGUGGAACCCCAUACCCUUCACUGGGCGUGGCGGGGAAACAGGACAUUUACUUUGAAAAAAUUAGAGUGCUCCAGGCAGGCCUAUGCUCGAAUACAUUAGCAUGGAAUAAUAAAAUAGGACGCGCGGUUCUAUUUUGUUGGUUUAUAGGACCGCCGUAAUGAUUAAUAGGGACAGUCGGGGGCAUCAGUAUUCAACUGUCAGAGGUGAAAUUCUUGGAUCAGUUGAAGACUAACUACUGCGAAAGCAUUUGCCAAGGAUGUUUUCAUUAAUCAGGAACGAAAGUUAGGGGGAUCGAAGACGAUCAGAUACCGUCGUAGUCUUAACCAUAAACUAUGCCGACUAGGGAUCGGACGGUGUUAUUCAUGACCCGUUCGGCACCUUACGAGAAAUCAAAGUGCUUGGGGCUCCAGGGGGAGUAUGGUCGCAAGGCUGAAACUUAAAGAAAUUGACGGAAGGGGCACCACCAGGGGUGGAAGCCUGCGGCUAAAUUUGACUCAACACGGGGAAACUCACCAGGUCCAGACACAAUAAGGAUUGACAGAUUGAGAGCUCUUUCUUGAUUUUGUGGGUGGUGGUGCAUGGCCGUUCUUAGUUGGUGGGGUGACUUGUCUGCUUAAUUGCGAUAACGAACGAAGGCCUUAACCUGCUAAAUAGCCCGCAUUGCUCCAGCAAGUGCGCUGGCCUUACUUAGGAGGGACUUUCGGCUUCAGGCGGAAGGAAGCUUGAGGCAAAUAACCAAGGCCUGUGAUGGCCUUUAGAAUGUCCUAGCUCGC